GACAAUGAAGAGAGAGUGAAAAAGAGCAAAGAGAGAAUAAAUUAGUAAUUAGAAAUUUAUAAAAGGUUAAAAGAAACAGUUUGAAAUCGUGAACCAAAUGAACGUGGAAUGAAAAGUUUUCUUUUGUUUGUUAAUUGUCUGUUUUUUUUUUUUUUUUUUUUUUUUUUUAACUUUGCUAUGUGUCAAAAUUUUGUUGGUCUUGUGCUUUAGUAUAUAAAUGUAAACCGUAAUUAAAAGUACGCUAGGUUAAAAGGCCUUCAACCAUCCGGUUCUAAUAAAAUUUCGGAAACCAGUGGCAAGUGAACGCUUCCAAUUGCGUUAUCAACAAAACCAAUUUUAAACAGACUCAGUUUAAUAAUCAAACAUACUUGACAAAAAAAAGAUUCGGAUAGCAGAUCUCGGCCGUAGCCCAUAUUAGGCCCAUACAAAACCAUUUAUUUAAGCUGCUAUAGCCCAUUAUCAGGCCCAUACCGAAAUAGUUCCAUUCUUCUGCUCGUUGCAAUCAGCAAGAAACUAAAGGCUAACCGGUUC
This 531-nucleotide long non-coding RNA is filed under the name Brassica rapa (field mustard). Its description in RNAcentral is "long non-coding RNA (BRAP_LNC000644)". The record is from RNAcentral. Lineage: Eukaryota; Viridiplantae; Streptophyta; Magnoliopsida; Brassicales; Brassicaceae.